CAGUAGCCGCGGUAAAACGUAGGGUGCAAGCGUUAAUCGGAAUUACUGGGCGUAAAGCGUGCGCAGGCGGUUAUAUAAGACAGAUGUGAAAUCCCCGGGCUCAACCUGGGAACUGCAUUUGUGACUGUAUAGCUAGAGUACGGCAGAGGGGGAUGGAAUUCCGCGUGUAGCAGUGAAAUGCGUAGAUAUGCGGAGGAACACCGAUGGCGAAGGCAAUCCCCUGGGCCUGUACUGACGCUCAUGCACGAAAGCGUGGGGAGCAAACAGGAUUAGAUACCCCUGUAGUCCCUGUCUCUUAUAC
RNAcentral lists this ribosomal RNA (301 nucleotides) under uncultured bacterium. RNAcentral describes it as "partial 16S ribosomal RNA". It matches the Rfam family "Bacterial small subunit ribosomal RNA", at positions 509 to 807 of the family's 1533-position model. The record is from RNAcentral.